This is a non-coding RNA of Pelobates cultripes (western spadefoot toad), 721 nucleotides long. The record is from the annotation of a GenBank genome assembly. NCBI's taxonomy places the organism in Eukaryota, Metazoa, Chordata, Amphibia, Anura, Pelobatidae.
UGCAAAAGUGGUGCAAGGAAAGACAACCUGAACCGGCACCAGAGUCACAGGCACCCAAGGUUUAUUGAUGCAUGUGGGAAGCAAAGGCUAGCCUGUCUGGUCCGAUCACAUAGAAGAGUUACUGUAGCCCAAAUUGCUGAAAAACUAAUGCUGGUCCUGACAGAACGGUGUCAGAAUACACAGUGUAUUGCUUUUUGCUGCAUAGCCACAAAGUGGUCAGAGUGUCCAUGAUGAUCCCUGUCCACCGUCGAUAGCACCUUCAAAGGCGAUGUAAGAUGUGCUGGAACAACAAAUCCGAUCCCUGGAGACCCCACAGCUUAACUUAAAGGGACACUAUAGUCACCAGAACAAUUACAGCUUAUUGUAUUUGUUUUGGUGAGUAUAACACUUUUUUUGUUUUUAGAGAAAAGGCAGUGUGUACAUUACAGCCAUAGGAUACCUCCAGUGGCCACUCCUUAGCUUGCUACAAGCGGUGCUUUCUGGGGCAGUGCUGCACGACAUUCCACUCCACCCUCUGCAUGGAAACACUGAACUUUACUCAUAGAGAUGCACUGAUUCAAUACAAAUCUAUGAGGAGAUGCUGAUUGGCCAGGGCUGUGUUUGACUUGUGCUGGCUCCGCCCCUGAUCUGCCUCCUUGGCAAUCUCAGCCAAUCCAAUGGUAAAGCAUUGUGAUUGGCGGAGAUCACUUAUGAUGAUGUCAGCCAAGCAGGCAGAUCAAGG